ACUCCUACGGGAGGCAGCAGUGGGGAAUAUUGCACAAUGGACGAAAGUCUGAUGCAGCAACGCCGCGUGGAGGAUGACACAUUUCGGUGCGUAAAACUCCUUUUAUAUAGGAAGAUGAUGACGGUACUAUAUGAAUAAGCACCCGGGCUAAACUCCCGUGCCAGCAGCCGCGGUAAUACGGAGGGUGCAAGCGUUACUCGGAAUCACUGGGCGUAAAGAGCGUGUAGGCGGAUAGAUAAGUCAGGAGUGAAAAUCCUAUGGCUCAACCAUAGAACUGCUCUUGAAAACUGUCAAUCUAGAAUGUGGGAGAGGUAGAUGGAAUUUCUGGUGUAGGGGUAAAAUCCGUAGAGAUCAGAAGGAAUACCGAUUGCGAAGGCGAUCUACUGGAACAUAAUUGACGCUGAGACGCGAAAGCGUGGGAGCAAACAGGAUUAGAUACCCUGGUAGACUGUCAU
RNAcentral lists this ribosomal RNA (455 nucleotides) under uncultured bacterium. RNAcentral's name for it is "bacterial SSU rRNA". It matches the Rfam family "Bacterial small subunit ribosomal RNA", at positions 335 to 803 of the family's 1533-position model. The record is from RNAcentral.